CUCCUUUGACGUUAGCGGCGGACGGGUGAGUAACACGUGGGUAACCUACCUAUAAGACUGGGAUAACUUCGGGGAACCGGAGCUAAUACCGGAUAAUAUUUCGAACCGCAUGGUUCGAUAGUGAAAGGUGGUUUUGCUAUCACUUAUAGAUGGACCCGCGCCGUAUUAGCUAGUUGGUAAGGUAACGGCUUACCAAGGCGACGAUACGUAGCCGACCUGAGAGGGUGAUCGGCCACACUGGAACUGAGACACGGUCCAGACUCCUACGGGAGGCAGCAGGC
This 281-nucleotide ribosomal RNA is filed under the name uncultured Staphylococcus sp. RNAcentral's name for it is "partial 16S ribosomal RNA". It matches the Rfam family "Bacterial small subunit ribosomal RNA", at positions 81 to 354 of the family's 1533-position model. The record is from RNAcentral. Lineage: Bacteria; Bacillati; Bacillota; Bacilli; Caryophanales; Staphylococcaceae.